UGUUGGGUUAAGUCCCGCAACGAGCGCAACCCUUAUUUUUAGUUGCCUUUAUGGAACUCUAGAAAGACUGCCGGUUAUAAACCGGAGGAAGGCGGGGAUGACGUCAAGUCAGCAUGCCCCUUACACCCUGGGCUACACACGUGCUACAAUGGGCGAGACAAUGAGACGCAAAUCUGCGAAGACUAGCUAAUCUAUAAACUCGUUCUAAGUUCGGAUUGCAGGCUGCAACUCGCCUGCAUGAAGUUGGAAUCGCUAGUAAUCGCUGGUCAGCUAUACAGCGGUGAAUUCGUUCCCGGGCCUUGUACACACCGCCCGUCACACCAUGGAAGCUGGUUAUACCCAAAGUCGUUACUCUAACCUUUUUGGAGGGGGACGCCUAAGGUAGAAUUAGUGACUGGGGUGAAGUCGUAACAAGGUAACCCUACUGGAGGUGGGGUUGGAUCACC
RNAcentral lists this ribosomal RNA (446 nucleotides) under Asterionellopsis glacialis. Its description in RNAcentral is "partial Bacterial small subunit ribosomal RNA". It matches the Rfam family "Bacterial small subunit ribosomal RNA", at positions 1073 to 1527 of the family's 1533-position model. The record is from RNAcentral. Lineage: Eukaryota; Bacillariophyta; Plagiogrammaphyceae; Rhaphoneidales; Asterionellopsidaceae.